RNAcentral lists this ribosomal RNA (558 nucleotides) under Dothideales sp. CY148. Its description in RNAcentral is "eukaryotic LSU rRNA". The stretch from base 196 to 349 matches the Rfam family "5.8S ribosomal RNA". RNAcentral also lists the same sequence under 4 other names. Lineage: Eukaryota; Fungi; Ascomycota; Dothideomycetes; Dothideales. The record is from RNAcentral.
GGAAGUAAAAGUCGUAACAAGGUUUCCGUAGGUGAACCUGCGGAAGGAUCAUUACCUAGAGUUGUAGGCUUUGCCUGCUAUCUCUUACCCAUGUCUUUUGAGUACCUUACGUUUCCUCGGUGGGUUCGCCCACCGAUUGGACAAACUUAAACCCUUUGCAGUUGAAAUCAGCGUCUGAAAAAACUUAAUAGUUACAACUUUCAACAACGGAUCUCUUGGUUCUGGCAUCGAUGAAGAACGCAGCGAAAUGCGAUAAGUAGUGUGAAUUGCAGAAUUCAGUGAAUCAUCGAAUCUUUGAACGCACAUUGCGCCCCUUGGUAUUCCAUGGGGCAUGCCUGUUCGAGCGUCAUUUGUACCUUCAAGCUCUGCUUGGUGUUGGGUGUUUGUCUCCUGUAGACUCGCCUUAAAACAAUUGGCAGCCGGCGUAUUGAUUUCGGAGCGCAGUACAUCUCGCGCUUUGCACUCAUAACGACGACAUCCAAAAGUACAUUUUUACACUCUUGACCUCGGAUCAGGUAGGGAUACCCGCUGAACUUAAGCAUAUCAAUAAGCGGAGGA